Molecule: long non-coding RNA, 2431 nt
Organism: Colias croceus (clouded yellow)
Lineage: Eukaryota; Metazoa; Arthropoda; Insecta; Lepidoptera; Pieridae
Exons: 2
Source: RefSeq, a predicted model, not a curated record
GCCCGUCGGAGUGGGGAGCGUGAGGUUUUUUCGUUACGGAAUUUCUCGAUUCGGUCCCCGCGCUCAAGGCCCGCGAUAGAAGCUAUGCAAUAGCUUAAAAAUAGUCUUGCUGACAUAAAUCCAGUAUUUCACAAACUGUUUGACAUAAUAUUAUAAUGUAAGAAUAAUUUGUGAUGUUUUGAUUAGUUGAUCACAAUGUUUUUGGUACCUUACUGUCAGCCUGUAUUAUAACAAAGUGCAUUUGAAAUAAUUACCUCUCAACAAUUUGUAUUCGAAAUAAUAAGGUUUUAUGUUAUAUUAACUUUUAAUUUAUAGUUAAGUGACCAGUUUUAAGUCUUUGUAUGACUAAAUAUCAAAAAAGGAUAAGCUUUUUUACCAAUUAAAAAAGAUUAUAGAUUAUUGUGAAUCUCAUAGACCAAUUUUAUUGGUCUGUGGUGAAUGUUUUCUAAAUUUGAAAUGCUAAUUUUGUUCUUUAAAAUUACAAUGUUGUUUUGAUAGGACAUGUUUUUUCAUUCAUACCUAACAAAUUAUGCAUGAAAAUAUGAGUCAAGAAUUGUUAAAUAUCUUUAAUUAUUAUUGGUAAUUUUAUUCGCGACUCGUGGAACUGGUCCUUUGAAAAACUGAUAAAUAGAGUAUUUAUAUGUAAGGUUUUUUUGUUUGAACAAUCAUAACAUAUUUUAAUGUUGGCAAAGGAGAAUGGCGAAAUUGGGCCUAACAUAAAUAAGGCCUUACAGAAAUGAUAAUAAAUUUAAAAUUCAUUAUGUUAUUUUUAAUAAUUCUUGGUAAAAUAUUGACUUCUGAUUCUAUGGGAAAACAAAUGUUUGAAAAAAAAAGAUAAUAUGUUCACUAACGGCAUUGUUAUUUAGAUUUCUAUGACUACCGGUCUUAUCAAGCAGAGAUUGUCAGUGCUGUCAGGAGUAAAAUAGUCGAUAUAUCGAUUAAAACGAAUGAAUAUUUAUUUUCAUUUUUAGUUUUAUACAAAAUUCAAAUGCUUUAUGAAUCAGAAAUAUAAGUUGACUGCGUUACAUAUUUUAUUUUUAAUUUUUUAGCACGCUAUUUAUUUAGGUAAUCCGUAAUUCUAUACAUUUUUACUCAUGGCGGCCGCACUUUGUAAGAAUAUUUCUGAAAUGUAGCUGGCCGCUUCAAUUUUAAUUACAAUGUCAUGUUUGUCGUUUGACUUUUGACAUUUGAUUGAGGUUUUUCGUUACGUUACAUUCGACUUUGUGCUUGUGGUUAACUUAUUUUCUUCAUCUUUAUCGACUUUCGCUACGUAUUACGGACACUGACGAUCUCUGUUAUUACUACCAACCAACGCUUGCACACCGGACUUUGAUUACCUGCCUUUACGACUCACUACUGCUACCCUACCUGGACACCGACUUUGCAUCCGAUUUUUCAUUUACAAUUAAUAUGAACUGCAUCAACUGUGGUAUUAAUGCUAAUCGUAACAAUGCUAUACGUAUGCAUUUGUUACAAGAUAACGCAAUAUUAUCAAUUAUACAAGGGUGGGCUGCUCCUCUAACGAUCACUCACUCUGAUCACAUAUUAUUUGAUGCAUGCUGGAAACUUGCAAAUGAUUCUUUGAGGAUUGAAAAUCAUGAAGAUGACAAUGCAGUUGGUUUCCUUAGGUUCAUAUCAAAUUAAGCAAGCAAGGUCCUAUUAUGGUGAGCACAUAAGAAACGAUGGCAAAUAUGUUAUAGAAGUGUGCCGUGAAUCAGACAGCGACAUACAGAGAGCACUGUCGACAUCAAGUACUACAUGGCUUUUAAGAGGUCGCAUUCAAUCCAGGCAUAGAAGUAGUAAAACUUAUUUUACUUAUAUUUUAGUCGACAGUGCUCUCAUAGGAAGGGAAGCAAUAACAGUCUAUUAUUGUAAUUGUUUAGUAGGAAGAAGAACUGUAGGUUGCUGCUGUCACGUUAUGUCCAUAAUAUGGUACCUUAGCUGGGCAAGGUAUCAACCAGAUUUAAUGCCACCAGCACAGUUUCUGGAUGAUGUGUUAAUUGUUUAUGAUGAUAAUGAUGAAUAAACGAUUUAUGAAAAAACGUGUUUUAUUUUAUAUACUUAUAAGUACCUACGGUGUUUUGGUAGGUACUCUAAAAGAAUAAAAGUUCGAUCCAAUAUCUCUAUUACCUAACUGUUCUUCUGUUACACUAUAUCUAAAUAAUAUAUAUUAUAGGAUAUAAACUUACCUCUACUUAGAAAGAAACAAAGCUAUUCAUUGAACUCGAGCAAACAUAACCUCAAUUUUAGUGACGUUACAUGCUCAAUAUCUCUGCUAUCCCAUAGAACAGAUCUUUAAUUGUUAUAUUUAUAGAAUCUGUAUAUUUUUAUCUAUUUAACCCCACAUAAAUCAUCAGUGUAACGAUCAGGCCCAAAGUCCUAUGGGAGUUCGCCAUUCUCCUUUUGUACAAUAAAAUAUUUUUGAUACAGA